Molecule: ribosomal RNA, 253 nt
Filed under: uncultured bacterium
Lineage: Bacteria
Description: partial 16S ribosomal RNA
Rfam family: Bacterial small subunit ribosomal RNA
Source: RNAcentral
UACGUAGGUGGCAAGCGUUGUCCGGAUUUAUUGGGUUUAAAGGGUGCGUAGGUGGUUUGAUAAGUCAGUGGUGAAAGCUGGUUGCUCAACAAUCAAGUUGCCAUUGAUACUGUCGGACUUGAGAGAAGUGGAGGUUCAUGGAAUGGAUGGUGUAGCGGUGAAAUGCAUAGAUAUCAUCCAGAACGUCGAUUGCGAAGGCAGUGGGCUGUACUUUAUCUGACACUGAGGCACGAAAGUGUGGGGAUCAAACAGG